CGGGUUGGAGCCGGAUUGGUAAGGCGCUUCGUUUGGGACGGAGAGUAACUAGGUUCGAUCCCUAGCAACCCGA
Transfer RNA from Metarhizium majus ARSEF 297, 73 nucleotides. It matches the Rfam family "tRNA". Rfam says of the family: Transfer RNA (tRNA) molecules are approximately 80 nucleotides in length. Their secondary structure includes four short double-helical elements and three loops (D, anti-codon, and T loops). Further hydrogen bonds mediate the characteristic L-shaped molecular structure. tRNAs have two regions of fundamental functional importance: the anti-codon, which is responsible for specific mRNA codon recognition, and the 3' end, to which the tRNAs corresponding amino acid is attached (by aminoacyl-tRNA synthetases). tRNAs cope with the degeneracy of the genetic code in two manners: having more than one tRNA (with a specific anti-codon) for a particular amino acid; and 'wobble' base-pairing, i.e. permitting non-standard base-pairing at the 3rd anti-codon position. NCBI's taxonomy places the organism in Eukaryota, Fungi, Ascomycota, Sordariomycetes, Hypocreales, Clavicipitaceae. The record is from Rfam.